Molecule: long non-coding RNA, 1922 nt
Filed under: Anas zonorhyncha (Eastern spot-billed duck)
Lineage: Eukaryota; Metazoa; Chordata; Aves; Anseriformes; Anatidae
Description: lncRNA (ENSAZOG00000009195.1)
Source: RNAcentral
GAAUAUAGGCCGCUGAGUAGAAUUCACUUGAACUACUUGAAGAAACUGGUAUAUGGAACAGAAAGGCCAUGUAUAGGCCUAACUGGUGUUCCUGGGUUUUGUUUGCUCAUUUGUUUUGUGUUGUUUUUAGUUUUGCUAUGCAGUUAUGUAUCUGAACAUACUGAGAAAUACAAAUUACCCAUUAGGAAGUGUUUUUUUUUCUGCAAGAGUUCUGCGAAAGACCUGUGUUUGAAGAAGAAAUCAGUGGUGAGAACCAGUAUGUGGCAGAGGAAAAAGAUUUGGCUUCAAGCUUUUAUAUGAAAGGUGAUACUUAAUUGGAAUAUUUUAUCAUCAAAAGGAAGCCUUUUAAACGUACCAGACCUGUUGCUGUUAUGCUAAAACCCUAGCGUUCAAAGGAGAGAGGAAAGACGUGUGGUUGGGAGGAAAACAGGGUUGUUUUCUGCAUGAAUACAAUAAAUGCUCUAUUCCACUUGUUUUAUUAGUGAAACCAACUUCAUAGGAAUGUAAAAUACCGUGAAGAAGCCACAAAACCACUACAACUAUCCCUUUCUGAACUACCUUCAGAAACAUUGUUUUGAAACUCUUAGCAGUGACCAGCUGGCUUCAGUAUCUAAACACUCAAUUUGCCUUCUGGACUGCUCUGUCGUAUUCAUUAGGACCUGGCCCCAGGGAACAGUUUAUUUGUCACCUUUUGUCUGGACAGAUGUGAAUUACUAGUUGUAAGCUGAACAUGAAGAUGUUCUAGUGUCUCAACCUGUUACAGUAGCAUACCUCCAGCAACCAUCAGGAUCUUCUUGAUCUUGUCUGAGACACCAUGGCCAAGAGAAUGCCUAUUAAAAAUAAGAGUAAAACUCAGAAGAGAGAAGAACCUUCUUUAAAGUAAACUGAAACAAUCAAGCUGCUGCAGAGCCAGAGUGUAUUUUAGAAAUACUGAAAAAUCUUAGAAAUACUGAAAAAUCUUCCUCUUUCAAACAGCCUUUCCUCUAUACACAAAUAUUAGCCUUUCCUUUUACUUGAAGGACCCUUCCAAGCCACUAACUAAAGGGUUAAAAACAAACAAACAAACCCCACACCCAUAACCUUAAGGAAAAGAAAAUAUCACAAGCAGACUUUACAACAGAAAUUACAUAUAUUCCUUAAAACAGAGUAAUGUUGUUCUCAGAGGCUCACUGAAGACAGGGUGAGUUUCUUAAUUAAUACUGAGUUAUUACCUUGAUUUCAUAAUGCAUGCUUUGUACUUCAUCUAUACAAACUUAUGUGAGAUCUCUGACUAAUUUGGCCAGCUAUAAUAGAUCAGUGAGAGAGAAUGACUGCUAGUUACAACAGAUCUUGAGAUGUGUGAGUACUUUUUUAAAAAGAAAGGUGUCUUGUGAAUGACUGAAUAUUUAUUUCUGCAAUUUCACCGACAAACUGAAGGAACAAGACUUCUUUGUCUGUGCUAGCAGCAAUGUGAUUUAUUCACAUGCCAGGGCUGCCUAUCUGUUGGCAGUAAAUGCAAUGUCAGGCAGCAUUAUUUAGUACUGCAAUAAAAGUCCAAAGAUUAAUAUCUUAAAAAAAAAAAAAAGUAGUAACUUUCAAAAAUUUAAUGAAAAAGAGCUAGUCUGUGUCUGGCAAGCUUGAAAAGCUUGCAAGUGAAACUGUAGCUGCAACAGUGGCAUUACUCAUGUUUACGUACCAAAUAAAGCUGAAGAUGUGCAGCGCCAGACUUUGCUCCAGGGGCACUCAAAUGAAUGGUUUUGCAGCACAGGUAGCAGCCGUAUAACUGUCUGUUACUGUGACGAUACAGUUUUCUUUCAUAAAGUCUUGUGGCUGGUUGGAAAUCUGCUGCUGUUGACUACAUUCAUAAAUAUGAAUGAAUUGUGACUCUCACUGUGAAAUUCGGUUUUGUGGCUUGCUUUGACAUUUCCUGGAGCCUUUAACAU